Molecule: ribosomal RNA, 447 nt
Filed under: uncultured bacterium
Lineage: Bacteria
Description: bacterial SSU rRNA
Rfam family: Bacterial small subunit ribosomal RNA
Source: RNAcentral
UGGGGAAUCUUGCACAAUGGGGGAAACCCUGAUGCAGCGACGCCGCGUGAACGAUGAAGCCCUUCGGGGUGUAAAGUUCUUUCGGCAGGAACGAUAAUGACGGUACCUGAAGAAGAAGCUGCGGCUAACUACGUGCCAGCAGCCGCGGUAAUACGUAGGCAGCAAACGUUGUUCGGAGUUACUGGGCGUAAAGAGUACGUAGGCGGUUUGCCAAGUUUGGUGUGAAAUCUCCUGGCUUAACUGGGAGGGUGCGCCGAAUACUGGCAGACUUGAGUAUUGGAGAGGAAAGCGGAAUUCCUGGUGUAGCGGUGAAAUGCGUAGAUAUCAGGAGGAACACCGGUGGUGUAGACGGCUUUCUGGACAAUCACUGACGCUGAGGUACGAAAGCGUGGGUAGCAAACAGGAUUAGAUACCCCUGUAGUCCCUGAGCGGGCUGGCAAGGCGCAU